This 483-nucleotide ribosomal RNA is filed under the name uncultured bacterium. Its description in RNAcentral is "partial 16S ribosomal RNA". It matches the Rfam family "Bacterial small subunit ribosomal RNA", at positions 30 to 506 of the family's 1533-position model. The record is from RNAcentral.
AUUGAACGCUGGCGGCAGGCCUAACACAUGCAAGUCGAGCGGAUGAAGGGAGCUUGCUCCUGGAUUCAGCGGCGGACGGGUGAGUAAUGCCUAGGAAUCUGCCUGGUAGUGGGGGAUAACGUCCGGAAACGGGCGCUAAUACCGCAUACGUCCUGAGGGAGAAAGUGGGGGAUCUUCGGACCUCACGCUAUCAGAUGAGCCUAGGUCGGAUUAGCUAGUUGGUGGGGUAAAGGCCUACCAAGGCGACGAUCCGUAACUGGUCUGAGAGGAUGAUCAGUCACACUGGAACUGAGACACGGUCCAGACUCCUACGGGAGGCAGCAGUGGGGAAUAUUGGACAAUGGGUGAAAGCCUGAUCCAGCCAUGCCGCGUGUGUGAAGAAGGUCUUCGGAUUGUAAAGCACUUUAAGUUGGGAGGAAGGGCAGUAAGUUAAUACCUUGCUGUUUUGACGUUACCAACAGAAUAAGCACCGGCUAACUUCGU